RNAcentral lists this ribosomal RNA (513 nucleotides) under uncultured bacterium. Its description in RNAcentral is "partial 16S ribosomal RNA". It matches the Rfam family "Bacterial small subunit ribosomal RNA", at positions 28 to 523 of the family's 1533-position model. The record is from RNAcentral.
GAUGAACGCUGGCGGCGUGCCUAAUACAUGCAAGUCGAACGCGCAGCGAGAGGUGCUUGCACCUUUCAAGCGAGUGGCGAACGGGUGAGUAACACGUGGAUAACCUGCCUCAAGGCUGGGGAUAACAUUUGGAAACAGAUGCUAAUACCGAAUAAAACUUAGUAUCGCAUGAUAUAAAGUUAAAAGGCGCUACGGCGUCACCUAGAGAUGGAUCCGCGGUGCAUUAGUUAGUUGGUGGGGUAAAGGCUUACCAAGACAAUGAUGCGUAGCCGAGUUGAGAGACUGAUCGGCCACAUUGGGACUGAGACACGGCCCAAACUCCUACGGGAGGCUGCAGUAGGGAAUCUUCCACAAUGGGCGCAAGCCUGAUGGAGCAACGCCGCGUGUGUGAUGAAGGCUUUCGGGUCGUAAAGCACUGUUGUAUGGGAAGAAAUGCUAAAAUAGGGAAUGAUUUUAGUUUGACGGUACCAUACCAGAAAGGGACGGCUAAAUACGUGCCAGCAGCCGCAGUAA